AGCGAACGCUGGCGGCAGGCUCAACACAUGCAAGUCGAGCGGGCCCUUCGGGGUCAGCGGCGGACGGGUGAGUAACGCGUGGGAACGUGCCUUCUGGUCUGGAAUAACCCUGGGAAACUAGGGCUAAUACCGGAUACGCCCUUUUGGGGAAAGGUUUACUGCCGGAAGAUCGGCCCGCGUCUGAUUAGCUAGUUGGUGGGGUAACGGCCUACCAAGGCGACGAUCAGUAGCUGGUCUGAGAGGAUGAUCAGCCACACUGGGACUGAGACACGGCCCAGACUCCUACGGGAGGCAGCAGUGGGGAAUAUUGGACAAUGGGCGCAAGCCUGAUCCAGCCAUCGCCGCGUGAGUG
RNAcentral lists this ribosomal RNA (352 nucleotides) under uncultured bacterium. RNAcentral describes it as "bacterial SSU rRNA". It matches the Rfam family "Bacterial small subunit ribosomal RNA", at positions 29 to 407 of the family's 1533-position model. The record is from RNAcentral.